This 253-nucleotide ribosomal RNA is filed under the name uncultured bacterium. RNAcentral describes it as "partial 16S ribosomal RNA". It matches the Rfam family "Bacterial small subunit ribosomal RNA", at positions 524 to 776 of the family's 1533-position model. The record is from RNAcentral.
UACGGGGGGGGCAAGCGUUGUUCGGAAUUACUGGGCGUAAAGGGCUCGUAGGCGGCCAACUAAGUCAUACGUGAAAUCCCUCGGCUUAACCGGGGAACUGCGUCUGAUACUGGAUGGCUUGAGUUCGGGAGAGGGAUGCGGAAUUCCAGGUGUAGCGGUGAAAUGCGUAGAUAUCUGGAGGAACACCGGUGGCGAAGGCGGUAUCCUGGACCGAUACUGACGCUGAGGAGCGAAAGCCAGGGGAGCAAACGGG